Molecule: ribosomal RNA, 562 nt
Filed under: uncultured Diversispora
Lineage: Eukaryota; Fungi; Glomeromycota; Glomeromycetes; Diversisporales; Diversisporaceae
Description: SSU rRNA
Rfam family: Eukaryotic small subunit ribosomal RNA
Source: RNAcentral
UUGGAGGGCAAGUCUGGUGCCAGCAGCCGCGGUAAUUCCAGCUCCAAUAGCGUAUAUUAAAGUUGUUGCAGUUAAAAAGCUCGUAGUUGAACUUCGGGAUUUGUCCAUUGGUCAGGCUUAACUGUCUGUACUGGUGAGUCGAAUUCCUACCUUCUGAGGAACUUCUACGCCAUUCACUUGGUGUGGUGGGGAAUCAGGACUGUUACUUUGAAAAAAUUAGAGUGUUUAAAGCAGGCUAACGUCUGAAUACAUUAGCAUGGAAUAAUAGAAUAGGACGGUUUGGUUCUAUUUUGUUGGUUUCUAGGAUCACCGUAAUGAUUAAUAGGGAUAGUUGGGGGCAUUAGUAUUCAAUUGUCAGAGGUGAAAUUCUUGGAUUUAUUGAAGACUAACUACUGCGAAAGCAUUUGCCAAGGAUGUUUUCAUUAAUCAAGAACGAAAGUUAGGGGAUCGAAGACGAUCAGAUACCGUCGUAGUCUUAACCAUAAACUAUGCCGACUAGGGAUCGGAUGAUGUUAAUUUUUUAAUGACUCAUUCGGCGCCUUACGGGAAACAAUCACUAGUG